CGGCGAGUGAAGCGGCAUAAGCUCAAAUUUGAAAUCUGGCUCUUUCAGGGUCCGAGUUGUAAUUUGUAGAAGAUGUUUCGGGUGUGGUGCCGGUCUAAGUUCCUUGGAACAGGACGUCAUAGAGGGUGAGAAUCCCGUACGUGACUGGUUACCUACGCCCAUGUGAAACUCUUUCGACGAGUCGAGUUGUUUGGGAAUGCAGCUCAAAAUGGGUGGUAUAUUUCAUCUAAAGCUAAAUAUUGGCCAGAGACCGAUAGCGCACAAGUAGAGUGAUCGAAAGAUGAAAAGCACUUUGGAAAGAGAGUUAAACAGUACGUGAAAUUGUUGAAAGGGAAGCGCUUGCAAUCAGACUUGCGCCUAGUUGAUCAUCCACGCUUCUGCUUGGUGCACUCGAUUAGGCUCAGGCCAGCAUCGGUUUGGGCGGUUGGAUAAAGACUUGGGGAACGUAGCCUCCUUCGGGUGGUGUUAUAGCCCCAGGUGCAAUGCAGCCUGCCUGGACCGAGGACCGCGCUUCGGCUAGGAUGCUGGCGUAAUGGUUGUAAGCGACCCGUCUUGAAACACGGACCAAGGAGUCGACCUAUUUAGCGAGUGUUUGGGUGUUAAACCCAUACGCGUAAUGAAAGUGAACGGAGGUGAGAACCCAUCAGGGCGCAUCAUCGACCGAUCCUGAUGUCUUCGGAUGGAUUUGAGUAAGAGCUAAGUGGGUCGGACCCGAAAGAUGGUGAUCUAUACGUGAAUAGGGUGAAGCCAGAGGAAACUCUGGUGGAGGCUCGCAGCGGUUCUGACGUGCAAAUCGAUCGUCAAAUUUGCGUAUAGGGGCGAAAGACUAAUCGAACCAUUAAACCUUGCUAGGUGGUUGAGAGAGGAUCGUUUGAGAGAUCCUUUAGUUCCCACUCGGGGCAACAUCGUCAAAUUGUUCGGGGACCACCUGUUAAUUUGCAAGCUACCGCAGCCAGCUCGAAAGGGGUGGUGCGCACCUGAGAUAGCGAUUCAGGGUAUGGUAAUAACGCUUGCAUGGGGUGUAUCCGCAGCGAAUCCCUAAGCCCUUUAAGGUAUGGGUGUCGUUCACAGACUAGACGGCGAUGGGCGUGACCUCUGGAGGUAUAGGCUUAGUAACCCUGUACCUUUGAGGCGUCACGCUUAAGAUAUAGUCGAACCCCCCAGAGAUGGGGUUGGAAUCAAUGCUAGUAGCUGGUUCCUGCCGAAGUUUCCCUCAGGAUAGCAGUGUUGUAUUCAGUUUUAUGAGGUAAAGCGAAUGAUUAGAGGCCUUGGGGUUGAAACAACCUUAACCUAUUCUCAAACUUUAAAUAUGUAAGAAGUCCUUGUUGCUUAAUUGAACGUGGACAUUCGAAUGUACCAACACUAGUGGGCCAUUUUUGGUAAGCAGAACUGGCGAUGCGGGAUGAACCGAACGCGAGGUUAAGGUGCCGGAAUAUACGCUCAUCAGACACCACAAAAGGCGUCAAUUCAUCUGGACAGCAGGACGGUGGCCAUGGAAGUCGGAAUCCGCUAAGGAAUGUGUAACAACUCACCUGCCGAAUGAAUUGGCCCUGAAAAUGGAUGGCGCUUAAGCGUAUUACCCAUACCUCGCCGCCAGGGUAGAAACGAUGCCCUGGCGAGUAGGCAGGCGUGGAGGUCAGUGACGAAGCCU
RNAcentral lists this ribosomal RNA (1651 nucleotides) under Rutstroemia firma. Its description in RNAcentral is "eukaryotic LSU rRNA". It matches the Rfam family "Eukaryotic large subunit ribosomal RNA", at positions 87 to 1411 of the family's 3401-position model. The record is from RNAcentral. Lineage: Eukaryota; Fungi; Ascomycota; Leotiomycetes; Helotiales; Rutstroemiaceae.